CGAAGCAACGCGAAGUAACCUUACCAGGUUCUUGACAUCCAAGUAAAAUCUGUAGAGAUACAGUGUGCCUUCGGGGCGUACUGAGACAGGUGGUGCAUGGUUGUCGUCAGCUCGUGUCGUGAGAUGUUGGGUUAAGUCCCGCAACGAGCGCAACCCUUGUGAUCAGUUACUAACGGGUAAAGCCGAGGACUCUGAUAAGACUGCCGGGGACAACUCGGAGGAAGGUGGGGACGACGUCAAAUCAUCAUGCCCCUUAUGACCUGGGCUACACACGUGCUACAAUGGCCACUACAGAGAGCAGCAAAGCCGUAAGGUGGAGCCUAUCUCACAAAAGUGGUCCCAGUUCGGAUUGUGGGCUGCAACCCGCCCACAUGAAGUCGGAGUUGCUAGUAAUCGCGGAUCAGCAUGCCGCGGUGAAUACGUUCCCGGGC
This 431-nucleotide ribosomal RNA is filed under the name uncultured bacterium. Its description in RNAcentral is "bacterial SSU rRNA". It matches the Rfam family "Bacterial small subunit ribosomal RNA", at positions 952 to 1379 of the family's 1533-position model. The record is from RNAcentral.